UACGAAGGGGGCUAGCGUUGCUCGGAAUCACUGGGCGUAAAGGAUGCGUAGGCGGGUUUUUAAGUCAGGGGUGAAAUCCUGGAGCUCAACUCCAGAACUGCCUUUGAUACUGAAGAUCUUGAGUCCGGGAGAGGUGAGUGGAACUGCGAGUGUAGAGGUGAAAUUCGUAGAUAUUCGCAAAAACACCAGUGGCGAAGGCGGCUCACUGGCCCGGUACUGACGCUGAGGCACGAAAGCGUGGGGAGCAAACAGG
RNAcentral lists this ribosomal RNA (253 nucleotides) under uncultured bacterium. Its description in RNAcentral is "partial 16S ribosomal RNA". It matches the Rfam family "Bacterial small subunit ribosomal RNA", at positions 524 to 776 of the family's 1533-position model. The record is from RNAcentral.